RNAcentral lists this RNase P RNA (351 nucleotides) under Pseudoclavibacter triregionum. Its description in RNAcentral is "Pseudoclavibacter sp. 125703-2019 RNaseP_bact_a". It matches the Rfam family "Bacterial RNase P class A". Rfam says of the family: Ribonuclease P (RNase P) is a ubiquitous endoribonuclease, found in archaea, bacteria and eukarya as well as chloroplasts and mitochondria. The record is from RNAcentral. Lineage: Bacteria; Bacillati; Actinomycetota; Actinomycetes; Micrococcales; Microbacteriaceae.
CGGGCCGGCCAGACGGUCGCGUCACCCGAGAGGGUGCCGAGGAACGUCCGGGCUCCGCAGAGCAGGACGGUGGGUAACGCCCACCCGGGGCAACCCGCGAGACAGUGCCACAGAGAGCAGACCGCCCCCUCGGGGGUAAGGGUGAAAGGGUGCGGUAAGAGCGCACCGGGCGCCUGGUGACAGGCGUCGCACGGCAAACCUCGUCCGGAGCAAGGUCGAACAGGGAUCGCUGACGCGGCUCGCCGAGAUCCCGGGUAGACCGCUGGAGCGGCGCGGCGACGCGUCGCCGAGAGAGAUGGCCGUCACGGGAGGAAUCCCGGACAGAACCCGGCGUAUCGGCCGACCCGGCUU